AGAAAUAAGCUUUGAGUUGGUUUAUGUAUGUGUUGCACCUUUGAUCCCAUGUGUUUUCAUUGUAAUGGGCCACUUCGAUUGGCUUAUAAUAUGGGUAUAGGCUAGGCAUACGGGAUUGCUUAGUUAAGUGUCUUUAUUUCUUUAUUUUAAUUGUCAUUAAGUGUUUUAGUUAAGGCUGGAUUAGGGUUCUAUAAGUGCAGUCCUGUUUUGAGUCAGUUUCCUAUGUUAUUUUAGUUUCCUAGUCAAUUUAAAUUACCUAAUAGGUUAGGGAU
This is a long non-coding RNA of Telopea speciosissima, 272 nucleotides long. RefSeq lists it as uncharacterized. The transcript is spliced from 3 exons. The record is from RefSeq and is a predicted model, not a curated record. NCBI's taxonomy places the organism in Eukaryota, Viridiplantae, Streptophyta, Magnoliopsida, Proteales, Proteaceae.